GAUUAACGCUAGCGGCAGGCAUAAUACAUGCAAGUUGAACGGCAGCACAGGUAGCAAUACUGGGUGGCGAGUGGCGCACGGGUGCGUAACACGUAUGCAACCUACCCUAUACAGGCGAAUAACCUUUAGAAAUGAGGGCUAAUACGCCGUAGUAUUACAGAUGGGCAUCUAUUUGUAAUUAAAGAUUUAUCGGUAUAGGAUGGGCAUGCGUCCCAUUAGUUAGUUGGUAAGGUAACGGCUUACCAAGACGAUGAUGGGUAGGGGAUCUGAGAGGACUUACCCCCACACUGGUACGGAGACACGGACCAGACUCCUACGGGAGGCAGCAGUAAGGAAUAUUGGGCAAUGGCCGCGAGGCUGACCCAGCCAUGCCGCGUGCAGGAAGACGGCCUUAGGGGUUGUAAACUGCUUUUAUACGGGAAUAAUAGAGUGUACGCGUACAUUUAUGCAAGUAUCGUAUGAAUAAGCAUCGGCUAACUCCGUG
Molecule: ribosomal RNA, 484 nt
Filed under: uncultured bacterium
Lineage: Bacteria
Description: partial 16S ribosomal RNA
Rfam family: Bacterial small subunit ribosomal RNA
Source: RNAcentral